Arachis ipaensis is the source of this 961-nucleotide long non-coding RNA. RefSeq lists it as uncharacterized. NCBI's taxonomy places the organism in Eukaryota, Viridiplantae, Streptophyta, Magnoliopsida, Fabales, Fabaceae. The record is from RefSeq and is a predicted model, not a curated record.
AAAAGUUAGAAGAGUGAGAGUCAAUGUGAGUUUCGCGCGAAGAAAAAAGUGACGAAGACAGUGGCGAUUCGCAAUCGCUGAUCAGUGUCAUAAAAUUGUUCAUUGUGUGGGCGUUUGGACGUCGCUUGCGGUCGCAAGUUCUUCUUGAUCUGUGGUAGCAUCUUCGCGGAGGAGGAAGACCAAGCUUUAGACGUUAGUGAUUCGAUUCUGAAAGAUGGCAACUACACAUGUUAUACUGUAGAAACAACAGCACUAGCUGCCGCACCAGGACAGAAUGCACCUGCAGCAGAGCCAGAACAGAUCCCAGCACCGGCACAACAGCCCACAGAGAAGGUGGCACCAAUUAUUCCACCUCCAAUAAUGCAACCUCCAGGACAAUUAGCAGCAAUAAGGCCAGCUCCAAUUAGACCUCCAACACACAUUAGGCCACCUAACAGCAAGAAGCCCCCGAAAGUAACCCAAAGAGGCCGCCACCAACUCUCCUAAACGACAUCAGGCUUCCUUCAAUGAGCAACCCAUCAAUAAGGCCUAGUGUGAGCUAAGAAACCAUGAUAGGUGCUAGUGUUGAAACUGCUACAAGGUUCGUACAAUUUAUGUCAACCCCAGGAUUAAGGAUACCAACAAAUGGAACAUCAAGUGGCAGUAACAAUUCCACCCCUAAUUAGGACCCUGCUCAUAUUGGAAUUAGAUUUGUCUCCUAUUUUGAACAUAGAUUAGAACAACAAGAUUUAGAUUUUUUUUUUUGUGGUUUUCAUAAUUACUAUGGAUGUAUAGACCAUAUAUUGUUACACCAUUUUGGUACUUAUUUUGAUCUUUUGGUAUUAGGGUCUUGAUGUGUGAACCACUGUCAUGAUGCUGAUAUUCAUACUUAUGUGGUUAUAGUCAACUUAGUUGUAACUGUCAAAUUGAUGUAUGCCCAUUGGCUUGUUGGUAUUAAUAUUAGCUUAAUGUUAAAACUUUA